RNAcentral lists this ribosomal RNA (255 nucleotides) under uncultured bacterium. RNAcentral describes it as "partial 16S ribosomal RNA". It matches the Rfam family "Bacterial small subunit ribosomal RNA", at positions 524 to 776 of the family's 1533-position model. The record is from RNAcentral.
UACGUAGGGUGCAAGCGUUAUCCGGAAUUAUUGGGCGUAAAGAGCUCGUAGGCGGUUUGUCGCGUCUGCUGUGAAAACUGGGGGGCUCAACCCCCCAGCCUGCAGUGGGUACGGGCAGACUAGAGUGCGGUAGGGGAGAUUGGAAUUCCUGGUGUAGCGGUGGAAUGCGCAGAUAUCAGGAGGAACACCGGUGGCGAAGGCGGGUCUCUGGGCCGUAACUGACGCUGAGGAGCGAAAGCAUGGGGAGCGAACAGG